GCUCAGGAUGAACGCUAGCUACAGGCUUAACACAUGCAAGUCGAGGGGCAGCAUGGUCUUAGCUUGCUAAGGCUGAUGGCGACCGGCGCACGGGUGAGUAACACGUAUCCAACCUUCCCAUUACUCGGGGAUAGCCUUUCGAAAGAAAGAUUAAUACCCGAUAGUACUUAAUUAUGGCAUCAUGAUUAAGUUAAAGAUUUAUUGGUAAUGGAUGGGGAUGCGUUCCAUUAGAUUGUUGGUGAGGUAACGGCUCACCAAGUCUUCGAUGGAUAGGGGUUCUGAGAGGAAGGUCCCCCACAUUGGUACUGAGACACGGACCAAACUCCUACGGGAGGCAGCAGUGAGGAAUAUUGGUCAAUGGGCGAGAGCCUGAACCAGCCAAGUAGCGUGA
This 391-nucleotide ribosomal RNA is filed under the name uncultured Bacteroidales bacterium. RNAcentral describes it as "bacterial SSU rRNA". It matches the Rfam family "Bacterial small subunit ribosomal RNA", at positions 22 to 404 of the family's 1533-position model. Lineage: Bacteria; Pseudomonadati; Bacteroidota; Bacteroidia; Bacteroidales. The record is from RNAcentral.